GGCACCUCCUGACCAGGUGAGUGCAUGAUGCGCGCAGCGAGUGAGAUCCAUGCUGAUGCAAAUGACACACAGAGUCAGAGGCCUGAAAGACUGCUGAUAUUUAAUGUAGCACAGCAUAGUCUAAGAUCAUGUUGAUGCUGUAGGACAGCUGUCAGUAUAAACUGCCCUCACGCACACACAGGAUGAGACUGCAGUUAACAGUUACCGUCUCCUUGCAGACCCGCAUCAAGGUUUCCACACAUCCCCACCUCACACACCACAAACCGGGGCCCCGUUCUCCGCGUGUGGACGCCUCAAGUCGUUCAAGGUUAGCUGAUAAUUUGAUACGAGACCUGGACUGUUUCGGUUCUUUGAAGCCAGAGUUGUGGAAUCCCACUUUUGCACUCAUUUUCUGAUCCAAAUGUCUUAAUAAAAUCCAUAACUGCAUCUUUAAUCUUAACUGUAUCUACGCAUGACAAAAAACCCAAAAAGAACGCACAACCCAUUAAAAGAUAGACAUCAGAAUGACAAUGUAUCUUCUUAAACACUAAAAAUCCUAAAUUAACCUGCAGAACUAUUUGAAAGCUACUGUGCUGAUUGGAGUUCCGGCUCCAGCUCCACGCACUGAGAACUUCAUCCGAGGUUAUCAGUCCUCAGAAUGCUUUCAGAUGAAAUUAACUGUGCGACAAUUUGCUCUGUUUUAGCCUGAUAGCAGCAUGUAGCUGGUUUUAGUCACCCCACACGUGUGAAGAACAGGGCCCGGGUCAGCAAAGCUUCAAAACAGUAAUCUGUAGUGGGUCAUGAGCCCGUGUGCACAUACGGUGGGUAUGAUGGUGACGAUGGAUCAGAUCUGUUCCUCACAUUGCUCCUCAUUAGCUGCUCUGUGUGCACUGGUAGCCUUCAAUCCAACCCGUGCGCGCCUCCGUGUUGAUCAACACUACUGCAAAGUAAGAGCACGGCCUUAUGAUCGGCGGCAGGUGUGCAAGGACCAACAUCUCAAGUGAGUUUGACUCAACUUCAGUGGGUUUUUGUUCUUAAUGAUAACUACACAUUACACACGGUAACAGGAGGCUAGCUAAUCAGACUAUAAAGGGAACAGCAGCAUGUUUCUCUGCGUGGCCCUCUCAGACUCCGUGUCACAACAUUCAGACAAUGCCGGAGUGAAUUUAGCAUAACUGAAUCUCUGCUUUAUUCACGCUCCUAUUUAGCCACAUCACUUUAAAUUCAGUUUGCCACAGACCAGGAUGAUUACAGGUCAUCUGCUCCACGAGGAAGCUGAAGGCUUAUUUGAUUUCCAGACCUUUCCUUUCAUUUUUUAGUGUCCGAAAGCUGAUUUAGAAGGAAACUCAAAUUUUAAAAAAGAAACUUUUGCAAACACCCAGACAUGUCACUGUAGGUAGUAAUCAGACAACGAGUUCACUUGUUCUUAAAGAGGAACUAUCAUGCUCACUUUUAGCACUGCAUUUUUAUUCUUGGACUCUGCUAGAGAGGCGACGGAAGACUCGCAGCUCAAAAUAAUCCUCAUCUUAAACUAGACUCAAGUUUCCCCCAAGAAACAGAAGAUCUGAGCAGCAGGUGGGUGGGGACGCCCCUCUCUGUGACAUCAUACAGAGCCAAGAAAAGAAAAACUGCCUGAAAGUGAUCAUUUAAAGCAGUCAGACACCUGCCUCAUGUGUAUAUACACAUGGAUCGUUAGUUGAAACUCGUUGCUAUGUUUAUUAUUCCAUAAUUUUAACACUACAUAAAUAUGACAGAAUAAAGGAAAAGCAUAACAAGUCUACUCUGAUGCAACCUGUUAGAAAAAGAAGAGGUGGCUACAAAGCUCUGCUAAUUAACGCUUUAGAUGACGCAGUCUUCUCUGAAAGUCUGAGUGAAAUUCUUUAACAUAUAAAUUCGCUGCAUUAGGUCAUUCAUUCCUCGUGAUUAUUGUAGGUUUUUUUCCUUCAUGAUUGUCAAUUUAGACGUUUGUCUCUUCGAAAGCUUAAAGCCUCAUGAGUAUGAAGCGAUGCAAAGCGAUGAUGGUGACCUGGCACUGCUAAUCCUCGGCACGCACACCUGCCACCACAAAUUAAAGCCGUGUUCUUACGGAGAACACCACAGAUGUUUACGAGUAGUGUUAAUUGGCACAAGAAGCUAUCAGCGCACAUAAAACCCUCAGAUGUUUGAGCGGGCGGGCACAGUGUUUGCAGGGACUCCUGACUGGGCAGCACAAAGUGAGGAACAGGAAAAGCAGAUACUCAUUUGUCAGUUUAGUUCUCAUGUGGGCCGAUGGUUCCCAGCAACGUCACGUCAGACAGAGAAAACAAGGGGGGCAGCAAGAACCAGUCCAUCUAUGUUGUUCCUCCACUGUUAGCUUCCAACACACGAGCAGUUUAUACACACACGCACAGACACACAAACAGGCUCGCACACAGAUUACGUGCGGUGAGGGGUAACGUGCUUCCUUACAAUCGCGGCUACAGCAUUAACAAACUUAGAGAAUGCCAGAUCGAUUACUUUUUCAGCUUAACUGUAUCGCAUCCAUCUGCACAGGCAUACGUGGACACACACGCAGACACGAGCACACACUCUCACUGCCCCGCCCCUCCCCCCCCCACCCGAAUGUUCACAAAGCGCGUCUAAAAUCAAAUUAUAGAUCUCCCCUAAACAAACCCCACACAUUCCAUUGGAAUUCACGUGGAUUUCAUAAUUCUUCCACUUUUUUUUUCUUCUUUAAAACCGCCCCGACCUUCCUGCACACAACCGUCGACCUUGUGUACUUGUAAUCCCUCCGAAACCUAAACCCUCCC
Long non-coding RNA from Astatotilapia calliptera (eastern happy), 2768 nucleotides. The record is from Ensembl. NCBI's taxonomy places the organism in Eukaryota, Metazoa, Chordata, Actinopteri, Cichliformes, Cichlidae.